RNAcentral lists this small RNA (130 nucleotides) under Marmota monax (woodchuck). Lineage: Eukaryota; Metazoa; Chordata; Mammalia; Rodentia; Sciuridae. The record is from RNAcentral.
GCCGGGCACAGUGGCGUAUGCCUGUAAUCCCAGCAGCUUGGGAGGUUGAGGCAGAAAGACCACAAGUCCAAAGCCAUUCCAGCAACUUAGCGAGGCCCUAAGCAACCUUUUUUGUGAAACUCUGUCUCAA